AGCUCCAAUAGCGUAUAUUAAAGUUGUUGCGGUUAAAAAGCUCGUAGUUGGAUUUCUGUUGAGGUCGGGCGGUGUACACCUCGUGUAUUAUUUGCUUCGGUCUCGGCAUCCUCUUGGGGAACGUUCAGGACUUUAUUGGACUGGGCGAGAUUCAAGACUUUUACUUUGAGGAAAUUAGAGUGUUCACGGCAGGCAAGUGCUUUGAAUACAUUAGCAUGGAAUAAUAAUAUAGGACCUUCGUUCUAUUUUGUUGGUUUCUAGAACUUAGGUAAUGAUUAAUAGGGACAAUUGGGGGCAUUCGUAUUAACGCGUCAGAGGUGGAAUUCUUGGAUUGCGUUACGACGAACUACUGCGAAAGCAUUUGCCAAAGAUGUUUUCA
This 379-nucleotide ribosomal RNA is filed under the name uncultured eukaryote. RNAcentral describes it as "SSU rRNA". It matches the Rfam family "Eukaryotic small subunit ribosomal RNA", at positions 587 to 972 of the family's 1831-position model. The record is from RNAcentral.